RNAcentral lists this long non-coding RNA (777 nucleotides) under Theobroma cacao (cacao). Its description in RNAcentral is "long non-coding RNA (TCAC_LNC004872)". The record is from RNAcentral. Lineage: Eukaryota; Viridiplantae; Streptophyta; Magnoliopsida; Malvales; Malvaceae.
CCCAAUCAGUAACUCUCCUACUUGCAUCUUUUUGUGAAAUAUUCUAUGCAAGUCUCUACAUUCAAGAAGUGAAUGACCAACUGUUCUGUGAUAGUCACAAUAUCUUGGGUUGGACUUCUUUUUUGUUGUUGGUGGUCGUGUAACAAGGGACAAGUUCACCUAUCUAUCCCUAAUCCAUUCAUGAAGAAGUGCUUUCAUUCCAUCUAGUGGAACGAAGAAUGGUGGAAAAGAAUUAUUAUCCUCAUAUUACCUUCUCUUUAUAUCAUCCUUUCUAAGACGUAAAUUUGAUUGUAAUGGGCAUCUUCUUUCUCUAUCUUUUUCUUAAAUGGCAUUCACUAUUGAGGUAUUCUUUCUAUCAAAUCAAGUAGCUCCCUUUUGUCUAAGAACCGUAUUAUUGGUUCUUCAUGUGGCUUCCACCAAGGUAACAAAGGUUAGAAGAGAUAAAUUAUCCAAGUGUAACCUAUUUUUAUCAAACAUUCUUUGAAUGCAAGUCUUCACUAAUUCCUUCUCAUCAUGAGACUCUUAUAUGUCCAACACCCUUUCUUUAAAGCAUUAAAUAUUCUUUAGUGAAAGAUUUAGAGAAUUUCAACUUCAAGUCAUCAUCCAAUCCCACUAUUCUGAGUGUUUCCAUAAACUUCAUAGCAUGCUCUCGUGCAUCACCAAUCUUACCAUUGAAUGCAUGAAUAUAAGACUAAUGUAGUCCUUCAGAUAUGGCUUAACCACGAUACUUGCUGGGUAAGGAAAUUUAAGAUCAAAUUCAAAAAAGUUGAAUCUCUU